RNAcentral lists this ribosomal RNA (494 nucleotides) under uncultured bacterium. RNAcentral's name for it is "partial 16S ribosomal RNA". It matches the Rfam family "Bacterial small subunit ribosomal RNA", at positions 28 to 507 of the family's 1533-position model. The record is from RNAcentral.
GACGAACGCUGGCGGCGCGCUUAACACAUGCAAGUCGAACGGAAAGGCCUGCUUUCCCUUGUGGAUUGCGGGUACUCGAGUGGCGAACGGGUGAGUAACACGUGAGUGAUCUGCCCCCAACUUGGGUAUAAGCCUGGGAAACUGGGUCUAAUUCCCGAUAGGACUGCAGGGUGGUGCCUGUGGUGGAAAACGAUUUUCUAGUGGUUGGGGAUGAGCUCGCGGCCUAUCAGCUUGUUGGUGGGGUAAUGGCCUACCAAGGCGGCGACGGGUAGCCGGCCUGAGAGGGUGGACGGCCACAUUGGGACUGAGAUACGGCCCAGACUCCUACGGGAGGCAGCAGUGGGGAAUAUUGCACAAUGGGCGGAAGCCUGAUGCAGCGACGCCACGUGGGGGAUGACGGCCUUCGGGUUGUAAACUCCUUUCGACCGCGAGGAAGCCACCUGGUUGGAAGGGUGGUGACGGUAGUGGUAGAAGAAGCACCGGCUAACUACGUG